AAAAAAGAAAAAAGAAACCACUUUCUUUGCUUGUCCAUAAAAAGCAAUGUUUCAUCUGUUCAAGUUUUAUCAUAUUACAACAGAACUAAUUCUAGUUCUAUUGCUGUCUCUACCAUAUCUGCAGUUACUUCCUCCUCUUAAGUCCCAAACUCUUCAAAGUCAUCCAUGAGGGUUGGAAUCAACUUCUUCCAAACUGUUAAUGGUGACAUUCUGACCUCCUCCCAUGAAUCCUGAAUGGUCUUAACAGCAUCUAAAAUGAUGAUAGAUCCAUGAUGCAUAGUUACAGGAUAUGAGAAUUCACUGUGAAUCCCCCAACCACUGAGGAUGGUAUCACGAUGAGCAACGACCAUGCAGUCCCAUGAAAUGUCCCUCAGCAUCACAACCAGCAGCUCAUCCUGUCCUUUCCCUGCUCCAGCUAUGGAAUCUACCAUAUCUCCAAAGAAUCCUGGAAGAGCCUCUCCUGAGACAAAAUCAUAUAUCAGAAAACUAAUAAGACAGGAAAUUUAAGUACACGUUGAAAGAAAAAGAUACUUUGUUACACGAAGCUGAAGUCAGUGAAACUUGUAACAAGGCAGGCUCAAACAGAGGUACCAACUACAGGUAUUUUAUUUUUAUUUAAUAACAAUAAUGUUUCACUGAUUUCCUUGAGUUCUCAAAGAUCUAAGUAAAUUUUAGUAUGCAAUCCUAUCUUAAAGCUAGGAACCUACAAGAAACAACCAAAUAUCAACCCCAAACAGUGACAAAGUGAUUAUUAGUAGGGCCAAGCUAGGGGGGUGGGAAGGGGAAGCCAUGGUAGCCUACUGCAGGUGUUAAUGCCUGACCUGGGUUACAAUGGGUUCACAUGGGGCUGUUGGUAGCCUGGUCCAGUACUGAGGAGAGUAUCUGUGCAGGAGGGUGGCCUGGUGCAGGCUGGCGAAGCACAGGCAGGGUAAAGAGGGUAUCUCCACAAAGGCAUGGUCUGGCUUCAGGUGAGGAAGGAAUCUGUCUGGGGUCGGGCAGAGGCUAGCGGGUGGGAAGGAUGAGAUGGAGAGGCACCUGGCACAAAGCGUCAGAGCAGAGCUCAGUAAAAGGGACUCCAUGACGAAGAGCAACCUGGCACGGAUGUCAGAGCCCAGACAAGGUAAAAGAAGUGUCAAUGCUGGGUGCGGCGCCAUGUGGUGGCCUGGUGUGUAGUGUUGAGUCCGAGCUGGGGAAAAAGAACAUUUCUGCAAUGGAA
This 1216-nucleotide long non-coding RNA is filed under the name Homo sapiens (human). RNAcentral describes it as "HSALNT0317161". Lineage: Eukaryota; Metazoa; Chordata; Mammalia; Primates; Hominidae. The record is from RNAcentral.